AAGUUUUGUAGUUUACAGAAAACUUUAAGUUGCAAACUUAAGAAUACCCAGAAGGUCAAAACUUA
Molecule: transfer RNA, 65 nt
Filed under: Laemobothrion atrum
Lineage: Eukaryota; Metazoa; Arthropoda; Insecta; Psocodea; Laemobothriidae
Description: tRNA-Cys
Source: RNAcentral